AGUGGCGAACGGGUGAGUAAUACGUGGGUAACCUACCCUUAAAUGGGGAAUAAUCCGUCGAAAGACGGACUAAUACCGCAUGAUGUCCUGUACCAUAUGGUACAGGGCUAAAGGUCCUAUAAAGACUGUUUAAGGAUGGGCCCGCGGCCUAUUAGCUUGUUGGUAGGGUAACGGCCUACCAAGGCUGCGAUGGGUAGCCGACCUGAGAGGGUAUACGGCCACACUGGGAUUGAGAUACGGCCCAGACUCCUACGGGAGGCAGCAGUGGGGAAUUUUGGACAAUGGGGGAAACCCUGAUCCAGCGACGCCGCGUGAGGGAUGAAGGCCUUCGGGUUGUAAACCUCUGUCAGAGAGGACGAAAUAGACGGUACUCUCAGAGGAAGCCACGGCCAACUCCGUGCCAGCAGCCGCGGUAAUAC
This 419-nucleotide ribosomal RNA is filed under the name uncultured bacterium. RNAcentral describes it as "bacterial SSU rRNA". It matches the Rfam family "Bacterial small subunit ribosomal RNA", at positions 94 to 526 of the family's 1533-position model. The record is from RNAcentral.